CAAUAGCAUAUAUUAACGUUGUUGCAGUUGAAAAGCUCGUAGUUGAACUUUUGGUAGGAGCGACCUGGCCUUGGGCGCAUGCCCUUGUUUUGCCGUGUGUCGUGUCUGGCCAUCCUUUUCCGCUCUUUUGGCGGGAAUCUUUUACUGUGAGUAAACUGGAGUGCUCAAAACAAGACGUUUGUUUGGUACAUUAAAGCAUGGAAUAAUAAGAUAGGACCUGGUUACUAUUUUGUUGGUUUGCAUAGCUGGGUAAUGAUUAACAGGGACAGUUGGGGGUAUUCGUAUUUAAUUGUCAGAGGUGAAAUUCUUGGAUUUAUGAAAGACGAACGACUGCGAAAGCAUUUACCAAGGAUGUUUUCAUUAA
RNAcentral lists this ribosomal RNA (364 nucleotides) under uncultured eukaryote. RNAcentral describes it as "partial 18S ribosomal RNA". It matches the Rfam family "Eukaryotic small subunit ribosomal RNA", at positions 592 to 976 of the family's 1831-position model. The record is from RNAcentral.